AACAAAAACAUGUCCUUUUGAAUUUAAUUUAAGGUCUAACCUGCCCAAUGAAAAAUUUAAAUGGCCGCAGUAUUUUGACUGUGCAAAGGUAGCAUAAUCAUUAGUUUUUUAAUUGAAAGCUUGUAUGAAGGGUUGGACGAGAUAAAAACUGUCUUNAAUUAAUUUAUUUUAGAAUUUAAUUUUUAAGUUAAAAAGCUUAAAUNNUAUUAAAAGACGAGAAGACCCUAUAGAUCUUUAUAAUUUUUAUUUUAAUUAAAUUUUAGAAUUAAUUAUUAUUUAAUUUAAAAAUUAUUAUAUUGGGGUAAUAUAAAGAUUNAANUAAUUCUUUAUUUAUUNAUACAUUAAUNUAUGAUUAUUUGAUCCAAUAUUAUUGAUUAUAAGAUUAAGUUACCUUAGGGAUAACAGCGUAAUUUUUUUAAAGAGUUCAUAUCGAUAAAAAAGUUUGCGACCUCGAUGUUG
Molecule: ribosomal RNA, 459 nt
Filed under: Cybister senegalensis
Lineage: Eukaryota; Metazoa; Arthropoda; Insecta; Coleoptera; Dytiscidae
Description: partial 16S ribosomal RNA
Source: RNAcentral